RNAcentral lists this ribosomal RNA (682 nucleotides) under Pseudomonas fluorescens. RNAcentral describes it as "bacterial SSU rRNA". It matches the Rfam family "Bacterial small subunit ribosomal RNA", at positions 81 to 759 of the family's 1533-position model. Lineage: Bacteria; Pseudomonadati; Pseudomonadota; Gammaproteobacteria; Pseudomonadales; Pseudomonadaceae. The record is from RNAcentral.
GUACCUGGUGGCGAGCGGCGGACGGGUGAGUAAUGCCUAGGAAUCUGCCUGGUAGUGGGGGAUAACGCUCGGAAACGGACGCUAAUACCGCAUACGUCCUACGGGAGAAAGCAGGGGACCUUCGGGCCUUGCGCUAUCAGAUGAGCCUAGGUCGGAUUAGCUAGUUGGUGAGGUAAUGGCUCACCAAGGCGACGAUCCGUAACUGGUCUGAGAGGAUGAUCAGUCACACUGGAACUGAGACACGGUCCAGACUCCUACGGGAGGCAGCAGUGGGGAAUAUUGGACAAUGGGCGAAAGCCUGAUCCAGCCAUGCCGCGUGUGUGAAGAAGGUCUUCGGAUUGUAAAGCACUUUAAGUUGGGAGGAAGGGCAGUUACCUAAUACGUAUCUGUUUUGACGUUACCGACAGAAUAAGCACCGGCUAACUCUGUGCCAGCAGCCGCGGUAAUACAGAGGGUGCAAGCGUUAAUCGGAAUUACUGGGCGUAAAGCGCGCGUAGGUGGUUCGUUAAGUUGGAUGUGAAAUCCCCGGGCUCAACCUGGGAACUGCAUUCAAAACUGUCGAGCUAGAGUAUGGUAGAGGGUGGUGGAAUUUCCUGUGUAGCGGUGAAAUGCGUAGAUAUAGGAAGGAACACCAGUGGCGAAGGCGACCACCUGGACUGAUACUGACACUGAGGUGCGAAAG